ACGGGAGGCAGCAGUGGGGAAUGUUGGGCAAUGGGGGAAACCCUGACCCAGCAACGCCGCGUGAAGGAAGAAGGCCUUCGGGUUGUAAACUUCUCUUACCAGGGACGAACAAAUGACGGUACCUGGAGAAAAAGCAACGGCUAACUACGUGCCAGCAGCCGCGGUAAUACGUAGGUUGCAAGCGUUGUCCGGAUUUACUGGGUGUAAAGGGCGUGUAGGCGGAGCUGCAAGUCAGAUGUGAAAUCCCGGGGCUCAACCCCGGAACUGCAUUUGAAACUGUAGCCCUUGAGUAUCGGAGAGGCAAGCGGAAUUCCUAGUGUAGCGGUGAAAUGCGUAGAUAUUAGGAGGAACACCGGUGGCGAAGGCGGGUUACUGGACGAUUACUGACGCUGAGACACGAAAGCGUGGGGAGCAAACAGGAUUAGAUACCCUGGUA
RNAcentral lists this ribosomal RNA (436 nucleotides) under uncultured Oscillospiraceae bacterium. RNAcentral's name for it is "bacterial SSU rRNA". It matches the Rfam family "Bacterial small subunit ribosomal RNA", at positions 341 to 792 of the family's 1533-position model. Lineage: Bacteria; Bacillati; Bacillota; Clostridia; Eubacteriales; Oscillospiraceae. The record is from RNAcentral.